Molecule: transfer RNA, 84 nt
Filed under: subsurface metagenome
Description: tRNA-Leu
Rfam family: tRNA
About the family: Transfer RNA (tRNA) molecules are approximately 80 nucleotides in length. Their secondary structure includes four short double-helical elements and three loops (D, anti-codon, and T loops). Further hydrogen bonds mediate the characteristic L-shaped molecular structure. tRNAs have two regions of fundamental functional importance: the anti-codon, which is responsible for specific mRNA codon recognition, and the 3' end, to which the tRNAs corresponding amino acid is attached (by aminoacyl-tRNA synthetases). tRNAs cope with the degeneracy of the genetic code in two manners: having more than one tRNA (with a specific anti-codon) for a particular amino acid; and 'wobble' base-pairing, i.e. permitting non-standard base-pairing at the 3rd anti-codon position.
Source: RNAcentral
GUGGGAGUGCCGGAGUGGUCAAACGGGUCAGGCUUAGGACCUGAUAGCUUAGUGCUUACCUAGGUUCGAAUCCUAGCUCCCACA